GAUAGUUCCUACCUGGUGAUUCUACCAAAAACAAUGUGCUGACCUCUGGUGUAAAGUUACUCGACCUGAUUUCAGGCACAUUUCCGUGACCACACCUGUUGGCUUUAUCUUUGGAAUACUGAGGCCAAAAGCUAAGACUCUAGAUUCCGAAACACUGAGAUUCAAAGUCUAGUGUUGUCCUGGCUUUGGGCAAGAAUCCAAAACCUUCAUAUGCUUUGCUUUCUUAACUUGCAUGCCACGGUUGAGCAGAUCUCUGGGGAUGCUUCCAUAUCCGAUCCAUAGCGAAGUAAGGCUUGUUGCUCAGGGGCUCCAGGAGAGAGUGGAAGAGGCAUAAAUACAAGCUUUGUGGAUAGUCAACACCAGUAGUUUUCAAAUCAGAAGGAUGCAUCAUGUAUGCUCCACUGGACUACAAAAGUGGAAAUAAACUAUUUAUUUGAAUCACCUCUCAACUGUUCACUCCACGAGAGUGAGAAAAUUCCCCUGCCCAGACUGAGGCAGCCUGUGCCCUUGUGGACAUUUUCCUUUCUUCUUUCCUUGAAACAAAUACCAUGUGAAAUUGUGAGAUGCUAUUGGUUCCACUCCUAUUAAGGGCUUGGCACUCUAGCAGUGUCUUUGCAUGUAAAUUACCCCAUUGCUGCUGGGUUUUGCUGUCCUUGAGAAAUCCCCGUUUUGUGUUCCUGGGAAUGGAGAUUUGUGAAAUGGAAAUGGGGAAGCCUGUGAAAAUGUCAGCUGCGUCCCUGAGACAAAUGGUGGAACAAAUUGCUCUCUGUGGGGUUCCAGAAAAAAAGGAAUACAGGGUGGUUUUUAUAUCAGGAGCCGCAUCACAAUGGAGACUUUCCUGACACACAGAGAGAUCGCUUUGAAGCAAUCUAGAGGGAUAUAGACAUGCAAUUUUGUGUUUUGGGAAAGUGGUAGAAAGGGUUCAGAAAUUGAAGUUGUUGAGUUGAAAUAAAAGGA
This 957-nucleotide long non-coding RNA is filed under the name Cricetulus griseus (Chinese hamster). Its description in RNAcentral is "lncRNA (ENSCGRG00015021752.2)". Lineage: Eukaryota; Metazoa; Chordata; Mammalia; Rodentia; Cricetidae. The record is from RNAcentral.